AUUAUUAUUAAAAAUAUUUAUUAACUUAAGAAGAAUAGUAUUCCACGGAGUUUGCGUUAUGUGCUGUUCGAAAACACGAUUAGAGAAUAGAAAUUGGACUAGAAUAUUAUUAAUAGUAUUUAGGUUUUUUUACUAUCGAAUUUUUAGCCAUUCGAUGAAAAAUUAUAGGGUUGGAGUGAUAGUAGUCCCCUAAGGUUUAGUAAUGGUUCCUCUAGGAUUGAGUGGGUGAUUGAUUAAAUAGUAUAAUCUAACGGAUGGAAUUGAUUAAAGUGUAAAUUUAACAGUUAAAAAAUUGAUAGCAAAAGAAUUCAAAUACUAUUAAUAGUAUUCUAGCUCAACUCUAAAAAAUAGUUCAUUUAUUUCUGUAAGCAGAAUCAUGCUACACCUAUAGCAAUGAGUAGAUUAAGCUAUUAUUUUCCCUGUCUCUCCAACAAAUAGAGAACCACGUCUAGAUGCUUCUCUUUUUUAGAAACAAAAAAAAUAUAUGGCUGUGUACUUUCAUCCCAACCCCCUUUUUAGCCCAAUAUAGGAAUGUCAACGGGUCGGAUUUGGGUCGAAUUUUUAAAAAUCUGAACCCGAAUCCGAAAACUAAAUUAAAAUCCGUACCGGGACCCGAACCCAGCCGGUUUUAAAAAUCCAUACCCAUAUUCGUACCUGACCAAAAACCCGAAACCCGAACCCGGAUCCGGACCCGACGGCUUCGGAUAAUAUUAUAUAAAUAAAUUAUUAAAUAUUUAUGGGAUAGAAAUUAUUAGAUAUUUAUAUAUUAUAUAAAUAAAUAAAAAUAAAGUAUGUAUAUAUAUAAUUUAUUCGGGUUUGGGUCGGGUUCGGGUUCGGGUCGGGUAAAUAUAAAAUCUAUACCCGUAUUCAUAUCCGUCGGGUUUUUAUUUUCUAUACCCAUAACCGAAUCCAUAUCCAUUUAGCUCGGAUAAACCAGCCCCGUUUGGGUUUAGAUUCGAAUAAUAUUUCGGAUAUCCAUACCCAUUGACAUCCCUAGCCCAAUAGCAGAUAUAGUGUUAAAUGCCAAAAAACCCCUCAGAGUGUUUGGUACCUCAUACGCAGACAAUUUCAAAGGUGAUCUNAUCGAGGAAUAAGAAGCAGGGCUAUUCUUUCCUUUUAACGGAUUAUUAUUAAAAAUAUUUAUUAACUUAAGAAGAAUAGUAUUCCACGGAGUUUGCGUUAUGUGCUGUUCGAAAACACGAUUAGAGAAUAGAAAUUGGACUAGAAUACUAUUAAUAGUAUUUAGACUUUUUUACUAUCGAAUUUUUAGCUAUUCGAUGAAAAAUUAUAGGGUUUGGAUGAUAGUAGUUUCCUAAGAUUUAGUAAUGUUCCUCUAGAAUUGAGUGGGUGGUUGAUUGAAUAGUAUAAUCUAACGGAUGGAAUUGACUAAAGUAUAAAUUUAACAAUUAAAAAAUUGAUAGCAAAAAAAUCUAAAUACUAUUAAUAGUAUUCUAACUCAACUCGAAAAAAUAGUUCAUUUAUUUCUGUAAGCAGA
RNAcentral lists this long non-coding RNA (1495 nucleotides) under Ananas comosus (pineapple). Its description in RNAcentral is "long non-coding RNA (ACOM_LNC016973)". Lineage: Eukaryota; Viridiplantae; Streptophyta; Magnoliopsida; Poales; Bromeliaceae. The record is from RNAcentral.